GGUGACGCUGCAGAAGAAGAUGUCUGAGUUUAAGGUCGUCAGUUUUUUAACAUGGCGUCCAAAUGUUAGGAUCUGUUUUUGCCGCUGCUGUUUCUGAGUUUCCCUCCUUUUUCCAAACCCACACUCCUGUUUUCACUCCUCUCGUUAGCUCUGACCCUCACCUGUAAAAACCCGGAUAAUUUAAACAAAUUCAGGACACUCACCGACUGACCAAACCUGCUCACACUUCCUCGUUUAAAACCAUGCGGUAAGUUCUUCAAUCUCUUUCAGUGUUUUAAAGUUUACCCACUUUGCUCUGCAUGUUUGUGGAGAAUUUUCUGAUCGUGUUAAAGCGACUCUACAUAUUUGAUAAAAAUGCUCCUUCACUGUCAUCAAACUGAACCUGAGAGAGCAGAGAUCUGUCCGACCAAAGCGCCUCUCUUGUCUCCCUCUUUAUCGUCUUCCUUCUCCGUCUGCAUUAGUGGAGCUAUAAAUAGAAGAAGCACUUUCACGUCAGCCGUGAAAACUGAGUCCUUUUGUGUCUGAGCUCUUGACGUCUCUUUUGUGAUCAUGACUGGGUUUUUUUUGUUGUUUUGUCUCACCUGCUCAGUCCUGAAUCAUCACUUCUCCAAAAACAGCUCUUUCUUUAUCGCCCUUUUUGCACGAACAUCUCUCAGGCGGUUCAUGAAGCUCUCGAACGCUCGGGGUCGUUUGUUUGCGUGUGAUUAUCCUCCCAUUUAACCUCUGCUGCCCGACUCCUCACAACUUUAUUUGCAUGUGCUGUCACAGAGACUGAUGGCUGAGACAACAGAGGAGGAGGAGGAGGAGGAGGAGGAGGAGGAGAGGGGUGAGGGUGCAGGGGAUGGGAGGUAAUCAAAGGGAGGAGGCAGCGAUGACUCAGAGAUUUUGAGGCGCUGUCUCCUCUGGUUGCCUGUCUGUCUGUCCGUCUGUCCAACAAUCUGCUGACUCCUCACACCUCUGUGGUCACGAUCUGCCAUGACCCAAACAGAAACCUGACCCGGGGAUCGACAUUAAGAAUUAUUUUAGAGGAAAACUCUCGUGCAGUUCUGACAGGAGUUUAUUUUUACUCUUUAAUCGCGUUAAAGGAAAUUUGAUUUGUUCAGAUCCUCGAUCGUGGACCUCGUCAUACACACCCCUGGAGACGAGACCUCAGACACCGUUUCUCUGGAUUCAGGGAGAGCAGAUGUUUUAGAGUCAUCCUGUGAGGAGGCGACAGGGUGAAAAAAUGUGCAUUAAUUUUACGAUACCGAUAUAUUAGCCGUCAAUAUUAGCGGGUACCGAUAUUGAUCCAAUAUUAGAACAAACUUCUGUUUUUCACUCAGCUGCAACGUCUUGUUCGGACUUUAAUGAAAAAUACGUCAACUGUUACUGGAUUGUUAACUUUAUGUGCCGAUCAACAAGUUUAACGUGGAUCAUUGAGCAUGAGGACUGAGCCAAUCAAAACAGCCGAUCAUGACAAAUCACAGCGUAAAAUUAACUAGGGAUGUUCCGAUACAAUAUCGAUAUUGGAUAUCGGUCCGAUAUCAGCAAAAAUUCGAAUAUCGGAUUAUAUAUCGUCCUGCGUCUAAAAUCUCCGAUAGAAGCAGUCCAUUCCAGACUCCGCUCCGGCACCUCUAUCUAACAGCGCCUUGAUCUAAUGCUGCGUUCAAGUUACUUUGGAAGUCAGAUGUCGGAGCUGAAAAUAACGUCAUACAGCGCGAGUUACCAGCGCAAGUCGGAAAAAGCAGAAUCGGAGGAGGAAAGAAGAUGGCUACAUCUACGAAAGUUAUUUUAGGGCUUUCCUUGUUUGAAUAUUAGGCUAGCGCUAAAAUAACUUUCACAGAUGUAGCCAUCUUCUUUCCGCCUCCGAUUUUGCUUUUUUCCGACUUGGUAACUAAAAUGCUGGGAACUUGGGUGUGACGUCAUUUUCAACUCCGACAUCUGACUUUCAAGGUAACUCGAACCAGUGUUGUUUUCGUUAACGCCCCUUUAUUUUUCGCAACGAAGACGUGACGUUGACGAGCUAAUCAUAAGUCUUAGAUGACUAAACUGUGACGAGACGAAUGUGCGUUUACAAGACGAGACGAGACUAGACGAAAACUUAAGUGGUGGACGACAAACAGAGUUGCAAAAUUCAUGAGCAUUUCAUCAGUCAAACGCUAAACAUAUAUUCUGUUGUGUUGUUUUUGUUGACGAUGACAAAAACAACGAUCAACGAUCAACAAAAACAACACUGACUCGAACGCAGCAUUAGAUCAGGGCGCUGCUACAUAGAGGUGCCGGACCGGAUUCUGAAAUAGACUGCCUGUAUCGGAGUGUUGAUAUCGGAGAUUUUAGACGCAGGCCGAUAUACAAUCCGAUAUUCAAAUUUUUGCUGGUAUCGGACCGAUAGCUGAUAUCGAUAUUGUAUCGGACACUCCUAAUUAAUUUUACACUGAGAUUUGUCAUAAUCGGCUGUUUUGAUUGGCUCAGUUAUCAACGUUAGACUUGUUGAGCCGCACAUACCGUUGGAAAUCCACUAACAAUUGACGCAAACCUCGUGCCGCCGCCUCUGUAGCUUUGGCGAGUUUCCUGCAGCGCUCAGAUCUUCUCACUUCACACUCCAGCUUGCGUGAACUCGCUGCAGGCGUUUAUUUCAGCUCAUUUCACUAUGAGAGACAUCGUUCACUCAGACACAGGUUUUAUUCCUGGUCUGUAUCACACUUCACAGGUUCUGAGUCAUGUUGUUCUCAUUUCCACCUCUGUUUCUGUGACCGCGCUGACGAUCUGUGAAAACAUGAAAUGGUGUUUUUCUCAGCUCUGUCUUUUCAUUCUGCUGUCUGAGCUGUUGAACAACAAAUCUCUGCUCCUGUCCGGAUACGAAUCAUUCAUGUUUUUGUCAGGAUGUAGAUGUUCUCGUGUAAGCUCUCGUUCCACCACGUCAGCUUCUUAAAUAUGAUGCAGCUGCGAGAGAAAAGUCUUCAUUGACCUUUAACCUUUGGAAGAUUUAAUUGGUGUAAUUUUCACUGUCUGGAUACUCGCCAUCUUGCACAAAAGAAACACUUUAGACGUCUGAUCUGUGCAGCUGUACGAUGAAGAACUCGUCUGUUGUGUCUAUUUCUAGCAGCUGGUUUAGUCUCUCUUUUUUCAGGAGCAGCCUCAGAAACGUCGCACAGCAGGAGGGGAGGAUGUGGUUCAGUUUUGAUGAAGGUAGGGUGAGAAACUACAGUGAGGUAGACAUGUUUAGAAGACGGGACAGAAGCAGCGAUACAGUCACGAAGCUAAUGCACGUUUAUUUUUGUUAAACAUCUGAUUUACCUAAAUUUCAAAGUUAACUCAAACACUUGCUAAAUCUGAGGUAAUCCAGUAUCAGUGUUGGGGGUAUUGCACUACAAAGUAACGGAUUACAGUAACAUUAUUACUUUUUUGAGGUAACGAAGUAAAGUAACGCACUACACUAAAACAAUCGCUAACUUAAUUACUUUACGAAACAAUAGGAGCGCGCCUUUCUUUUCUUGGAGAGAUCAAUUUAAGUAAUGUAGCUGCUGAUGCGAAAGAGAGAUGGAAAUGGAGACAGAGAUGGUGGCAGACGACACAGGGGCUUUCGGCAAAUGGCGAUUCUCGCAUUACUUUCGCUAUAUUUAUUAAAAGGACAAAAAUAUUUGUGUGAAAUGCACUCUGUGCCCAGGCGCAAUGGUAGAAUGCGGACUAUGUUAGUAAAUUAAGAAGCAGGAAAGUAAAGUAAUAAGUUGUCAAGUUACUUUUCAAAUGCAGAAAGUAGUUAAGAAAUCUUAUUACAAUUUACAGAAGUAACUAGUUACUAGUAACAAAUUACUUUUUAAGAGUAACUACCCCAACAUUGUCCGGUAUAUAUCUAUAACUAUUUUAAAUUAUCAAGUCUUAAAGGGGAAAGUUUAGGAGCCUCUGCUGUAAUCGAGGAUAUGUCUCCACUAAAAAUUAAGCUGCUUUAACACGAUCAACCUCCCCUUUUUGUUUAACCACGCUGCAAAUAUAACAUGAGGUCAGUAGAGGGUUAACUCGCUUUCAGCCAGCCCCCGGUGGCCAUCUGAGGAACUGCAGUGCUGUGAGAUUCAAUAAUCCAUACAUAAACCAACGCUCCUGUUAUGAUCUGACUUUAAGGGAAUAUUUUGGUGCUGAGUCUCCCUUUUCCGCUGAAGUCCUGGUUCUGUUCGGGUCAUCCUCCAGAACUAAAAGCACAUCUGUUAAAGAGAAAGCUUUUCUUUCUUAUUCUAACCAUUGGAUAUUUAUGUUCUACAUCAGAGACGGGGAGUUUGUUCUUAAAGGAGAUUUAAAUAAAUUAGACGAAGACAGAAAAGCGUCUUAUGUUAAAGGCGGAUAAACAAAUGUGAUGUAAAAUGUAGAAGUCUUCGGCGCUGUUGGUUGGUGGAGCGCUGUGAGCUAACAAUCGAUGGCAGGAUGACUCAGUGGGAUGGAGGAAGUCCAUGUGGGAGGGAAGGUUAAGAGAGGACGCCGCUGAGAGCUUUUGGACCGAGGAAGCGUUUUAUUACUGGAGCUCCAGAUGCCUCUCGUAUGAAAAACAGGGGCUACAUACUGAUAUACACGUCUGGAUUUAAAAAAAAGGAGAUUAUUUCAUUAAAUUUAGCUUUUUUGUUAAAGCAGAUGUCGUACAGCAUCAGGAAAUCGACUCUGCCCGUGAGAGGACAUAAAUCCCAAAGCCGUCCAAGACUGUAAAAAAGGAGGUGGUAAAAUCUGCAGGAAGGAAGAGAAACAAACAUGACAUCUUUGGAAAAAAGCAGGGCCUGUUUUUGAGAGUAGAGGGUGAUGUGUUGACGUCUUCGAGGAUGAUGUGGUCCAGAAAUAGAGAUGGUGGUUUUCAUUAAACUGAUGUCAACGUGGCACCCGAAAAAAAAACUGUUAAUACUCAUGAGAAGAAGGAGCAGAAAUCCACCCAGUUUGACUUAGUUUGGUAUUUUCAUCUUUUUUAACCCUCCUCCUGUGUAAAGGUCUGCACCGACCCGUUUUUGAAGAACCACUUAAAUUUGCUUUUUUGUAUCGAGACUUUUGAACUUUGUCAGGAACCUCAAUUUCAACAAAGUGAAAAUAAAACAAUCAAUCCAGGCCGCAUAGAAUGGCACUCGUGAGACCGUUUUUCAAGGCACUCGGGAGAAAGGAAUCGGUAAGAUAAAAUGUAAAUGUUGUCGAUGGAUUGAACCAUUUGGAACCGGUUCUCAACAAGAACUGGUUCAAGAUUCCCAUCCCUAAGUCUGUGUGAGGGGUAUACCGACAAAGAAAGACCCAGAGGACCACAACAAAAACUAAUAUAGGCAAUAUUUUCAUGGAUAGUGAAGCGUAACAAGGUAACCUAGAGAUGUGAACCAAACUGGAUGAUAGAGAACUGAUUUUAGUGUAAGUGUAGGAUGUGUCGUAAAAGCUAACUCCGGAGGAAGGUUAAAUAAAUGUUGAUUUCUAGGCUGAAGGCGGUGAGUUUUGUUUGGUCCUUGUUCGCCUUAUCGCUCACAGGUCUCCACCCCUGUUUGACCCUAAAUGGACCGUUAUUAUCAUCAUGUCGUCCUAAAGAAGACCCAAACUAUCAUAUUGUUGUGAAACGGCUCAUAAAGGUGAUAAAUGAAAUGUUGUGGAGCUGCUUUAUUAAAGUGGAGGACACAUCAUCUCCUGCUUGAUGAAUGUCCUCUCUGUCUGUUACAUGGAUGAUAAGAGGUGUUGUUUGUCGAGAUAAGGCCUUGGGAGGCAGCGGCGUCUACUCACUGACUCAUUUUUUUUCCCACUUUGACACCGCCGCCUUUGUUCGUAGCUUUAUUGUUCACGCCGCGCUGUUUUCACCCUUGUAUCGCCUCGUUUAUAAGCCGCGCAGCAGCCUGCAGGUUUGCAUUGUUCAGCAGACUCUCUGGAUGUAUCGUGAGAGCAAUCUGAAGGCCAGAACCGGCGAACGCACGCCUGAAAACAGCCCCUGAUAAUGACCCCGCUCAGACCCGCCGAUGUGGCGGUUUUCAUUGAAUCUGAGGAUUAGCGGCCAGUUGUCCCUCUGCUUCUCAGGGGCCCAGGCUGCCCCUCUCUCUGGACAAUCGCUCACACACUGACACACAAUGUGGAGGUUCAGCUCAGGUCACAGUCGGACUGGUUCUGUAGUAGAAAGGUUCAAAAGCUUGAGUUACAGUUUUACCAAGAAUAAGAAUCACAAUCCAUCGUGAAGUGCGCCGACGGACCGGAGUCAGAGUCCACCACAGAUCAGGCUGAACAGACUCAGACUUUCUUUGAACACAGUGGCUCAACAAAGUCUAAAGCGAGAAACAACAGGUGUCACUCAGCUGGUUAUGAACUUUGUCUGCAAUCAUAUCGUUAUCAGGAUGUUUUAUAACCACGGUGACCGCGAGGUGAAAGUUGGUGUCAGGCAAUCAUCUCAAGUCAAACGGCGCUCUUUUAUGACAUCAAUAAUGAGGACUCGGGCUGUUUUUGGAUUGGCCUACUGCAGGGGUGGGCAAUCAUGUGCCAUGGAGGGCCGAGAAGCUGCAGGUUUUCUUUCCAACCCAAAACUCCACCAGGUGAUUUCACUGAUUAGUCCCUGCUCUCUGCUUGGAGGUAAAGUAAUCAGUGAAAUCACCUGGUGGAGUUUUGGGUUGGAAAGAAAACCUGCAGCCUCUCGGCCCUCCGUGGCACAUGAUUGCCCACCCCUGGCCUACUGCGUCCUCCUGUCCAUACUGUAUACUGAGUACUGUGUUUGAUAGUAGUAUGCAGUAGGCCAAUUUGAAAACAGCCUGAGUCUGUAAGUCGGCUGUUAUUCUGUAGUAUUUUUGGCCCAGUUUAGCUGGUUUUCAGUAUGAAAAAGUACAUCGGUACCCUGGUAAAUUGAUUUUUUUUUUUCGGGACUUUGCAGCCCAGAACCAGCCAUCAAAACCUUCUCUGUCUUUGCAAUGACUCGUCGAUCUGGCGGCAUUUGAUUCUCAUCACGGCGCAGUAAAUACAGCAAAGUUAUGUUGUCGGUUAUGUUGUUCUCGUUUCCUGCUUAAAGGAAAGAAGUUGCAAUCCUCGCUAAACGUGUCAACUGAUGGCGUCUGCGUGGCGUGGUCUUAUUUCCCGUUGUCCCGAUAGUUUGACAAUUACAGUAAAAAUCCUCUAAUCCAAACUCCUGUCUCCUGUCAGUUUAUUUCAAAUACCGUCUUGUGUGCUGAUUUAGUCCGACUGUUUGAACGUUUACUCACCUUUCUGUAUUAAAGCUGUAGACCCCCUCUAAUACCAGAUACCUGUCCAGCUGUGUGAUGGAAACAUCAGGCGUACCGUAUAGAAUAAAGGAUGAAGAGAAGCAGGAAAAUUUGAGGCAAUGGAAAUAGAUGAUAACAAUUGUACAGUAUGGUAACAAAACAUUCUUGUCAGUGGUUUUCCCACAUAAUGCUAAAAGAAGAAGAAGGAGAAGACAGGCUGUCAGAGGGAGAAAUCUUUUAGCUGCCCUCUUGGAAAAUGAACGCUCCGGUGAAAAGUUUCGCAGCUCUCCGCUGUUCCGACUGGUCUGAUGUAUCCUGUGAAAUUUUCCCGAAUCAGUACGUCAUCUGGGUAUUUUUGGCAUACUGCAAAUUUCGCAUUUGUUCGCCUACUGCAGACUGAAUUUUGGGCACAUCACUACAUACUGCUAAUAUACUAGGUGAAUUCGAAAACAGCCUCAGACUCUGCUCAGACCCGGGUAACCAGGACUUGACUUUAGACUUAGUGACGAGACCACAGCGUUCAUUGUAGCUUUACGCUGGAAUGAUGUUGAUGCUGCAGGUGUGAAGCUGUUUUGUUUAUUCUCUUGGCUGUGAUUGUAAAUAUGACAGAUUACUCUACUGUAGAUGCAAUAACAAAUGACUUGUCCAUAUUUAGCAUGAAUUAAAAACAUCUGCAAGACAAUCUUUGAUGCCAAAACGUCAAGUCUGGGCCGUCUGGUUUUGGAGUUUUGAGUCACCUGGAAAAAACAAACUGAAUAUUCGACCUCUUAUAGAGUUAGACUUGUCAGAGUUGGGUCUUCAAAAACAGACUUCUUGAGUUUUGUUUUCUUUUUUUUUCCUGCUUUUAUGUUGUUGUUUUCUUUUUGUGACUGGAUAUUAAUGAUUCAGGAAUUAGCCACGUCCAGGUAAAAGCCUGCCAGCUGCUGCCGUUGUUGUUGUCUCGGAGGUUGUGAAUGGAUUCAUGCGCCCGUGGAGCCGCUUCUAGAUGAGCCUUGGCACUCCAGCAUUCACAGCUAAUGGAUUCACGAGUGGCUCUGUAAAUAGGCCAUGGCACAGGAGCCGGCCAACACGGCCGCCAGCUCCUGAAUAAUGCAUGAAGGUAAAUUUGAAAAAUCACUUCCGGCUUGAGGAGACUUGACUGAAACUGAAGGCUUUCAAAAGUCAGACACACACUUUGAGCGGAGUAGAAAUAUUUUGAUUAUUUCUGGCGUUAUUUUCGUUUUCUUUAUUCGCGCUGAUACAUGAGGGCUUCAGGGAGAGGCAGACAUCAGGAGAGUGAACCUCCAGAGCUUUUUUUAAUCCUCUUUGAGUAUUUUCAACUCUUUAUUCCCAUUAUAUCUCAGCUGGUACAUUUUGUGCAUCACAUUUAAUGAAACACGCUUUAAAUCCUGUUGUCAUUUUAGAGAUCUGGGGUCGUCAUUUAAGUUUUCGUCAUGUUUUGCAGGUUCACUCUUCACUCAGAUUGUAUGUUUGUUCAAAAAGAAAACUCUUUAAUGGUGUCUGAAUACUUCCAGAGUCACCCUGUGCAGCCGGUGUCACCCAUAAUGUCAGUGGAGGAGGGUUUACAGGACCGUUGCAGGGUUACUCCACUGCUGGGCGAGUGUGGCGACACAUUGUAGUGACAGUGGUGAAUUGGAUUAUGGAGCAGCUUGACGGCACCAACCAGAGCUCUGGAUGAGAGGCUCUUUCAUUUCAGUGUGGAGCUAUUUUUAAGCAGAGAGAGAAAGAGAGAGAGAGAGUGAGAAGAGUGAGAGAGUCACACACGGGUCUUUAAUGAAAAUAGAGUCAACAUAAUUUUGCAGCGAUGGCAGGAAAAAAUUGACCCCCCUCUGUUUUUACUUUCUCUUUUCCCAGCAUGUGGUUUCAUAUCCAUCUUGUCUGUAAAAGUGGAAUUUUCUCUCUUAUAGUCUGUCAGUAAAGCUUUACUAAUGCACACAUAACUUAGAAGUACUUUAUGUUAUUCUUUGGAGUAUAACUGCAGACAAAUCUGUAUCAUGGUCUGAAAUCAGAUCUAAAAUCAAACAUUAAAGCUCCUGUGAGGACUUUUUUUGAUGUAUAUGAAACAGAUGCAAAUUCAUUCUAUAAUAUAAAAAAAUCAAACUAGACCGUCAGCAACAGUAUUAACAAUUUUAAGUGUGUAAUUUUUACUUCCCCAAAGACUGUCAGGAGGGGGUAGGUGUAGCACUUAAAGCUCCAGUGUGAAGCUUUCAGCUUGUGUCAGUUUUGGCGCCCCCCUGUGGACAAAGCAGCCUCAUCCUUGACUCACUCAUAAAGUGCCUUCUGACAGAAAAAUCUCAUUAUACUGACUAUUGAGUGUCAAAUUGAUCAUAUCUCGUAAAUGUGUUAUGUGGAAAAUCUAAAUAUGUUUCUUUGGCUGCUUAGCUGACACCUACCCUCUCGCACCGGCAUUUCAAAAUUUGAAUAGAAAGGUCGUGAAUAUGGUUACUAAAGGUAUUAUUUAAUUUAAUAUAUCAUAUAAAGGCAUCUGUAUAAAUUUCAGUCCAUUUCAGUACCACCAAAAACUCCUUAUCAUAUUGAAUCGUACCGUACCAGAUCGUAUUGUAUCAUAUCGUGUCAUACUGCAUCAUGUCGUAUCGUAUCAUAUUGUAUCAUAUUGGAUAGUACUGUUGUAUCACAUUGUAUUGUACUCUCUGGUAUCUUGUCACAUCGCAUCGUAUCAUAUCGUAUUGUACCAUAUCGUACCAUAUUGUGUCGUAUUGUACCAUAUCCUAUCCUAUUGCGUCGUAUUGUAUGAUGUCAUAUCGCACUGUAUCGUAUCGUACAACUUGGUAUUGUGCCGUAUUGUAUUAUUUCGUAUCUUUUUGUAUCAGAUCGUGUCGUAUUGCGUCAUAUCGUGUCAUAUCAUAUUGUAUCAUAUUCUAUCCUUUUAGGUUGUAUUGUGCCGUGUCAUAUUGCACUAUAUUGUAUUGUACUCUCUGGUGUCAUAUCGCAUCGUAUCGUAUCAUAUUCUAUCCUAUCCUAUUGGGUAGUAUCGUAUCGUGUCAUAUCACACUAUAUUGUAUCGUAUGACCUGGUAUCAUGUCUUACGUAUUGUAUCGUAUUAUAUCAUAUCGUGUUGUAUCCGAUUAUUUAAUUUCAUUUCAUAUUGUAUCAUAUCGCUUCAUAUUGGUUCGUAUUUUACCCUUUUGCGUUGUAUCCUAUCGUGUCAUAUCGCACUAUAUUGUAUACUACAUUGUAUCGUGUCAUAUAUCGUAUCAUUUCAUAUCGUAUCGUAUUGUAAUAUUUCGUAUCAUGUUGUAGUCUGUUGUUGGUUACUGGAUUGUAAUGCAUCAUCCCUUAUAUUGUAUCCUAUCAUACUAUCAUGUAUCAUAUAGUUUUAAGGGAAGUGAUUACUGCUCACAUCUUCAGAGCGCUCGUCGAGCUGAAAUCGGUUUGUAAUUCUAUCUUCAGCAGACGUCAGAUUUUUACUCAGCAGCCCCGAUGUGUCUGCUGUGAGAGAGAGUGAGAGCAAUUUGCCACAUCAUCCAGGACACACAUGAGGCUGUGACGCAACCUCAGAUUAAUAUCCAGUAGAUCACCCCUGGAAGCUCCACACAGACGCAAACAUGAGAGGGAGAAGGGGGAGGAUGGGGGUGUGUGUGAUCCCCUAGAUAGCAUCAACCUUAACUCCACCACCACCACCAUCUCCUCCUUCUGACCUGCACCCUGCUGCCAGCCUCCCCAGUCUUAUUCACUGCUUUGUUACGCAACAGGGGGUUUGGGCCAUGUGCUACAGGCUAGUUAAGUAUUUAUCAGACCUCUUGUGUAAGCUGGGGAUGGCAGGCGGCUGCCACUCGCCUCUCUCCUCUUCCUCUAUUGCUCUAUCUCUCUCCCCUGCCAAGCUUGAUCUAUUUUCCUCCCAUUACUGCGUAUGUGCUCACAGGAAACCCAGAUGUCACGACCAACCCUCUCCCCUGUGUGUGUCUAUGUGUGUGUGCAAAGAUCCAGGUGUGACAUUUGAUGAUAACGCUCGAUUCUUAUGCAGCAACAUAACUUAGCCUCCUGUUGUCCCCUGAGUGAUGCUCUUCGCUCCUCCUCUCCGGAGAAAACAAAACGUGCGCACACGGAGCUGUUUAUCACCCCCAGACACAGGCCGAGACAGAAAAUCAAACAUGCAGUGAUUGAGCUCCUCCACAACCGCAAGUCACUGUCACAAGUUUUACUGUAGCUCUUUAUGAGUAAAACCCCAUCUUGCAAAUCAAACUGAAAUUCCCAUGAUGCAUUGUGGUGGCAGACAGAGAGCGCAGGCUGAGACCCAGUCUGUCAAGAGCCUGGUGGAUUACACCCAUCACAGGACUGUCAGCAGAGGCAUUUGCAGGAGGACGGAGCAGUGAGGGAAAAGGUAACUCAGCACCUGGACUCUGGUGUCUAUGGCUGCAGCGGCGAGAGUUCAGGACGAGAACGAGCUGAGAGGAUGAGGACAGAUCUCAGACAGCGAAGACUCAGACAGACUUUGUGUUUAAGAAGUAGCUAGGAUGAGGAGUGGUCUGGUUUCCAUGUUUGAUAUAUUUGCAUUAAGAGUUAAGUUAACCCAGGAUUUGGUGCGCACGAGAAAAGUGGUGUUGAUUGUAUGGAGAGCAAAAGCAGGCAGGAGGCAUCCACCAUACUGUUAGGGUGACUAUAAGUCCUCUUUUACCCGGACAUGUCCUCUUUUUGGGGAGCUGUCCGGCCUUGUCCCGCCUGUCCGGGGAGUUUAUAAAAUACUUCAAAUAUCGAGAGUUUUGAGUUUGUGUAGCGUUGACUAAAAAAUACUCGACCCGACCCGAAAAACCCUCAAAAUUUAGUGUGCGACUCGUCGAUCACCAUGCCCUGCAUAGUAGUAUCCUCUUUUUGGGGAUCCAUAAUAUAGCCACCCUAAUUAUGUUAUUCUGGCUCCUAUCAGUGAGAUCCUGGCAUUGAUUUAGGACUCUAAUGAAUGCAGUUAGAUCUACCUUAUGAUCUUGACUCUUUGAUUUAUUAUUAACAUAGAUGCUGCACCAAAGUGCUCUGAAACCGUAUUUUAAAGUUGAAGGCAGCUUUAAGUGUGAUUUAUGUCUUUUAAAGGAUAAAACUGUUUACAUGACGAAAAUGCAGGAAUGCACGGACAAAUUGUCCGAUCAGUGUUUGUGAAAUUAUUCUGGGAUCACUUUGAUUCCUCGUUAAUGUGACCCUCUUCAGGAGUUCCAGUCUGGUUGCUUACUCUAUUGUUCCCCGUGAUGGUUUUGGUAUUUAAGUGGGUUGUUUUACUUCUGUUGUGGGGCCACGGUGGCUGGCAUACUGUAAAAAUUUCAGUUUACAGACAUUACUGUAGUUCUCUUUGUUUUGGUACCUAACGACCCUGAUUUUUAAUCUCCUUCAGUUUUGAUUUUUUGGCCUUUAACUAUAAUCCACAGCCUAAAAGGGUCUGUAAUUCAAAAUAAUAAAAAAAAAAAAUGAUUCAAAACAUGGAAAAAAAAGAAUAAAGAUUAAAAACUUUAAAAAAAUAAAUAAAUUGAAAUUAUCCACGGCCUAAAAUGGUCUGGGAUUAAACAUUUAAUAUAUAUUAAAAUGAAUAAAUAAAUUUUGAAAAUUAAAAAAAAGGUAAAAAAAUCAAUAAAUAAAAAUUAUCCCGGCCUGAAAGGGUCUGUGAUUCAAAAUUAAAAUAAAAUAAAAAGUAAAAAAAUAUAUAUUCAAAUAAAAAAAAAUUUUAAUUAAAAAAUGAAAAAAAAAAUUACCCACAGCCUCAAAGGGUCUGUGAUUCAAAAUUAAAAUAAAAAAUAAAAAAUAUAUAUAAUGAUAUAAAUUUAUUCAUUUAUUUAAAAAAAUAUUUUUUUAAAUAAUUUAUUUAAAAAAAUAUUUUUUUAAAUAAAUUAAUUAAUUUAUUUAAAAAAAUGACCAACCUAAAAAUUAGCCACGGCCUUAAAGGGUCUGUGAUUGACAUGAUUGUACAGGCAGUUGAUGCAGACCUUGAUAAGCUGCAUUGAAUUAAAGUGAAAAUCAUGAUGAAGACCUCUUGAAACUUCUGUCUUGUUUUCAUUUUCUAUUUUUCUUAUAUCACAGUCUUAUUUUUCACUCUGGAGCUGCUGCUGCUGAGCUAAUAUUAAACUGAGACAUUUCUCUUCCUCCUCGUCACCUCCUGCUGUGCUCUCUCAGCCAUCAGAGGUUUGCACACACCUUUUCACGGAUUCAUUUUUAUAUUAGUGGGGACAAGAGAGAAAACUUGAGAGUGUUCGUCCCCCCUGAGGAAAUGCUUAAAAAAGCACACAGCUGCCAUUAAUAUUUAAAUUUGGCACCUCAGCUGGUCAGCUCUGCUUACAGCUUCUAAAAAGAUGUCGAGUCACUGCUUUGCAGCUGUUGACGGCGUUGUCAUCAGCUCUGUCCUGCAGAACCGGAGAAUAAAACUCACCAAAACAUUCUGAUUACAGCACUUUAGGGUGUGCAUGUGGACGGUGUGUAAUCCUUAGUGAAACAAUGGGACAUAAAAGUUAGUCAUGUGUAAAGCAGCUUGAAAAAGUAAACCUAAUCUUUACAAUAACGUGCAACAAAUCUCAAACCUAUGCUGCAAUAGUCACUGUGUAAUAUCUGCAAGGUAAUAAAGAUGAGUGUCGCUCAGUUAGAUGUUGUACCGCAGUUUUAUCCCUUUUAUAUUGAUGCUACAUGUAAGCAGAUGUUUUUAAAGCAAACGUGCACAAUUAUUUUUUGCACAUCUUCAUGAGUCUAGUGCAGAAGUUUUUAGGCUUUUAAUUAAUCACAAAUUUAGACCUAAACGGAUUAAAAAUGCAAAAUAAUAGAAUAGAAUAGAAAAGUUGUUCUCGAUGGAUAAACAACCGUAAAGAGAAAAGCUGGUAUCCUGUAUCUGGGUGUUUGCGUAUUGAUUUGUGCCUAAUAUUAGGGUUAAUGGGGAUUGAUUCACUCUAGGAGCCAGCCCCAAAUGGCCACUUGAGGAACUGCAUUUUUUGACUUCAACUCCAAAAUCCUAAUAUAAUCUUAUCUUUAUCAUUUUACACUCCUGCACCUCAAAUUUAUAUUAUAAAUCUGGUAACUAUUACACAACUUAUAAGGCAACUUUGUCUGGAUAAUACUGAUGUUAGCAUUUAAUCACAGUCCUUACUACUUCACAACUAUUUUGACGAUGAUUCUCAUUCAAUCAUAAAAUAUUUAUAACAUCUUAAGACACUCUGAAUUUUGCUCAUUGAGUGUUACAAUCUUUGAUUUAAAGCUCCUUUGAGAAACUUUUAUAUGUUUACAAAACCCACUGGAAUUCAUGUGACUGCCUUUUAAUGAUAAACAAAAGCAGCCUAGCCCAAAAUCAGCAAGAGUGAAGAUCUUUAUAACUCUAUUUCUGCUGUCUGGAACCGGUGUGAGGAGGUAGUCCAGGCCCUGAAGCCCAGGGACCAGCCUUGUUUUUAUAAUAUCUACAUAAAAUAUUCACAAUAAAUGAUACGUUUGACUGUCAAAAGUCAGCAUGUUGAGAUUUGUUGUCAUGAAUCAACACUACUGCAUGUAGCAGACAAGAUAAGUAAAGACUCUUUGUCCACAGGAGGCGCCAAAAUUGACACAGACCAAAAGUUCCUCACAGGAGCUUUAACUGAGGAAAAUAAUCGUUUAUAUCUGCUCUCUUGGAAGCGUCCUUCACUGAGAUGAUAAAGGAGGACUAGUUUCUCCGGUGAGAGAGAUCAGAGGACUGAAUCUAGGAGCAGAUUGUGUCCAGAUGGUGGAUAACACCGACAAGAAUACUGCUAAAUACCACAAAUGAGAAAAAAACACGGACACAGACGCUGUAGGAAGAGUUUGUUUAGCACUCCUGAGCCGAGCUAUCGAUCGGCUGUACAGUGAGUCUUUAGUGAUGGGAAGUGUGACACUAACGUCCCUCCCUGACUCCCACAGCGAUCACUCUGGAGCCAAAUGUUAUGUCUACUCUUGAAUGGAAAAUUGCCGAGGUGGAAUAUUCACCCACACGCUCUGGGGUUGAAUGCUCUGCCUGGGCGCCCAAGAGUCACAACUAAGGUCCCAUUAGCAUUUGAUGGUCUCAUUAAACAGCCCAUUAGGGAGCCUCGCUGUGAGGACGGAGGCUCAGUGGGCUGGUUUGUGGUUUGAUAGCCACAUGGUGCCGCUCUGCCAAGUUCCCCUGAAGGAGUAUGCGGUAUGUCUCUGCCGUUUUUGUUCAUAUUGUUUUGUCUGAGGUGGUUCUAGUGGGCUGUGUUGUUUCAGUACCGGAGAGGUUGGACCAUCUUACCCACCUCAUCUGCUGAUUUUCUGGUUUCUUCAAGACUUUGGACUUUUUUCAUACAAAAACAUAUUUUAGGCAAGAAGUAAGAGAUCAUGGCCGUCUGAAAACAACAACAAUAAAUAGAUGGAUAACAGAUGAAGGGAAUUAAAUCAAUGACUCAGGCCUCUCUGUACAGUCAGCCAUUAGAUGAGUGUGCAGAGAUCAUCGACAAAUUGUAAUCUUGGAUAGGUGCAGAGCUAAAAUUAUUCCACAGAAAAUACGUUUUAACUCUAUUUUAGAGGGGAUAUCUGACUCCACUACCGUCAACAUCAUGGACUCGGUUCAAGUCCAUUUUUAGAGAAGUACUUUUAGUUGAUGUCCAAGUAAAUUGUCUGCCUGCAACGCAAAAAGACAAUCUGAUACCAUGAUACACGACAAUACGAACGCCUCAUGCUGAACCAUCAUAUUGCUACAUGUUGAGUUGAAUUGCACUGGCUGUAUUGUAUAAGACUGUAUGUAAGAGGGGAACAUAAGAGCUUUGCCAUCAAGAUACGAGAAAAACCUGCUGGAUGUCUUAAGUUUUUCUCACUGACUGAGAUUAAAGGGAUAUUCCGGUGUAAAAUUAAGUUAGGGUCGAACACAUCGUAACACCGAGUUAGACACCCCCUUGAGUAACGACCGCACGAUAGCAAUACACAACGGUCUAUGUGGGUGAGUUGUUUUUGGUCUCUUUGCUAAAGAAAUGAGUCAAAGUUAAAAAGAUGUUUGGUGUCUAGUACUGUGGCUGUGACCCUAUAUGUCCUGUUGAUGAAGUUAGGUGCUGUUCUGAGCAUUAUUUGUGGUUAUAGAGUGGCGUUUUGGUUGAGGUUUGCACAUGGAGACAUAGGUUCUGAUCUACUAAGAUACAAAAUAGCGAGCACUAAAUUGCUUGUGCAAACUGAAAAAUUGCACGUGCUAUUAGUGGGCAUGUUUCGGGUGCAAAAGUGGUGCGGACCGCCCUCUUUAAAGGAGGAUUUUGCGUGUGCUAUCUAACUCGGUGUUACAGUGUGUUUGACCAUAACUUUAAUUUACACCAGAAUAUCCCUUUAAGGCAGCCUUUCUCAUGUGUUUAUUACUCAUCUCUCGAAUCAAGCUUAGGAUCAUUUAUUCAGACCUGUCUGAAUCCAUAAGUUCAUCACUCAGCAUCAACUUUUUAUGUUUUUAGGAGCACCAAGUCAUGCCAACAGUGUGCUUUUAACAUUACAGAGUAGGGGGUCACUGUGAUGGUUGGUUAAUGCUGGUGUUGAAAACCAUAAACUGAAGAAGAAGUUACGUACUAACUAAAGAGCAGGAUCAUUGUUCAUCAGAAAGUAUGCUAGAUAAAGGCGCUCUCACUUUUAGGAGUCUGUUCAGUGGAGAUGCUUCUCAGGCAAAGUCUGCUGUGUAGUCGAGGACGGAGGAGGUGUGAUUGGAGGGAAAAUGCCUUUAACAUCAAAAGCUUUCUCGAGUGUCUGCAGCCACGUCAAAUGCCUUCCAUUCAGUGAGGAGACCUCUUUCGAUAACAGUGUGUCACCUCUUUCUUCUGGGUCACUGAUUUCCGCUGGAUUCAGGAGCUCCUGAUUCAACCGCGGGGGGCAAAGUUCACCGAGGAGUCAAAGUGCACACCACAGGCUGACUUUAGAAAAGGAAAGACUCUCUCUUUCUGUCAGAGUAAAACAGAGAAACCGGUUUAAAAUUUCAGGGCUGUACCUCCAGAGCCAUUUCGUUUCAGCUUGAAGUAAUUAUAUCCGAGGAAUAACGUCAAGAUUUUCACACGCUGUCAACAAGUUAUUCUUUAUUUCAUGCUUAAUUGGCUGCAGGAGCUCGCAGGCGUGUCUCUCCUCAGUAGCAGAGUGUCCUUCGUCUGUUAAUAAUGCAGAGGGAUGGUGAAACUUUAAUUUUCAACUCCAAUGCAUUUGCAGUAACUAUCUGGUGUGUGUUUCUCCUCCUCCUCUCAUAGCUCUCAUAGUCGGGUCACUGUCUCUCUCUGUGCAAACAAAGCUGCACUAUUUAUACUCUUCAAACUCGAUAGCUCUCCUGGACAGUCGUGAACAAUCUGAUAGUGGAUCCUUGAAUGAGACCCCGCGCCUGCAGCAGAGAGCCUGUGACAUUUAAGAUAACACUCACAGGCUCGGCUAAUUAAUACGAGCAAAAGAGUGUUUUCAAACUCAGACCACUUCCAAUUUAUUUUCCCAUUAUUUAAAAAAACAAGCCGGACUCUCUUUUCUGCGCGCUAACUCGGCUUUUCUUUCCAGCACGACCCCGCUAACAUAUGCAGACCUAUGCAGGAGCUUUGAAGCUAAUAUGCUGCUUGUUUGAUCUAUAACUUACUUAUUUUUUACCCAUACACUCCUCUGAUGUCCAACUCUGCUCACUCCGACUUUAUUUAAAGCACACUUUCAUACAUAAAAGCACGUAAAGCUCAAAGUGUUUCACAAAGGAUCAAACAGACCGAGUUGUCCAAAAGAUGAAAUUAUUAAAAAGCAGAAAUUAAAGGAGAAUUUAAUCAAAUAAUAUAUAUUCUGUUUGUACCGUGUAGUACAUUUCAUGUCAUGCUAAUGUGUCUCUAAGUCUAUGUAAAGCUACAGUGGGGGAUUUUGACUUGUGGUGUUUUUGUUCUGUUACGAUAUUGCAUUUUAUUUUUACAGUAGUCCUACUUCAGACGAGGCAAAUAAGCAACCAUUGUUAAGGAUUUUGGGGUGGCCAAUCAGAUUAGGGGGCCCCUAACACCCCCGAUCAACCCUUCAGACACGCCCCUGUGAGUAAAUAGUGUUUUCACCAAAAAUCUGAUUAAAUAUUUCAGAGCAUGUUUCACCCUUGCCUGUUGACAUUGUAGCGAAAACAUUACUUUCUAUCCAGGGCUGGUUUUUAAAGGUUGGAUAUAAUGGUGGAAUUUCUGGAAAAGUAGAUGUGAGGGCAGCCAGAGGAGUGACUGGAUCCAAACCAGGAGUGGAGCAACAUGCUGUCCUGCAAUCCAGGCAACAGCUUCAGAGCUGGAGACUUGUUGACUUGUCUAACUUAAAGGUGAGGUAGUCAGGAUCUGAGUUAGUGCCAGUUUUUAGGAGAAAUCUUGAAUGUAAACUCUACCCCUCCCAACCAGUUUCCCCCUCAGCUCCUCCCCUCCCUCUCUUAAGCCCCGCCCACAAACAGACGCUCCUGCUCGCUCGUAUCGCUCCAAUUAAAUUCAGAUAUAAUGCAGAUAAAUACUUCAGAUCAUUACAAAUGGGGCCCAGUCAAGGUGAAAGUCAAAAGCAUUGGUGCUACUGUAGAUGCCAACAGACUACCAGCAAACACAAUGUUUGCAGGACUUCUACAACGAGGAUAAAGUGACAUAGUCCAGGACCCGAGGGAGGACAGUUUAGCGAUGGCGCUACAACACGCUACAGCAGGUCCGUUUGACAAGAAACACUUCUGUUACAGACACUUGUCUUACUUUGUUAAAGCGGUUUACCUGUCCAGCAGAAAGGUUACAGGGUCACCAAGAUCCCCAAGCGUCCCCCAUCGUUUAUGUUGACCCGGCUUUUUAGCUCUUGUCCGGUCUACCUCCGUUUUAAGCGCCCGUUAUUCCUCCAGAGUCUCCCGUAUUUACUUUGUUUUCUUGCUUGUGUCGGCAGUCGUGGCCAAAGGAGGAUUCAGACAAUUUUCCAAACUUUCUAGUUGGUUUCUACUGUCCGAUAUUGUAGCACGCUAACUUUGUUUGGACUCGUGAACGUUAUUGGAGGACGUGGAGCGUGCCUCACAACACGAGGGAGCAGCGUCUGCCUCAUAACCAAUCAGGUUGGGGGGGCGGAGAAUGGCUUUGUUUACAUUUAGAGAGAGCGGCCGCUCAAACAUUUUAAAAUGUUGACGACACAGACACAAGAGAACACAGUGAUAUCGUGAUAUUCCCAAAUGUCAUCAAUAACUAAUAACUAAUAUAAAAUUUUUCGUAUAUACAGCACAAAAAAGACGUUUCUUUAACGGAUUCCUGCCGACCCAAUCUUUAAUCUUUGAUGAAAAUGUCCUCUUGACCUCGCCCGUCAGGAAGGCUGAUGUAAAUCUGUUGUCAUGGAAGCAUCAUCAGCUGUUAAAUCAAUUCCCUUUUUAGCGGUAUCAAUUAAUAUUUUCUAAAUCUCUACAAUGAUGUCCAUAUCACGAGUUCGACUCGGCUUUUUUAGAUCUUUGUCUGGCAGUCAGGCGAUAUGUCAGGUAAAGUAAGGUGAGGGAUGCAAAUUAGAGUCACUCCACUCCCUGCCAGAGUUUUGUCUCGCUCUGUCUGGAUUUAAAUCUACAUAACCACCCGCCCACUGUUCAGAAAAAACUAAAUAUGAAGAAAAAUAUAAUAGAUUGUUUUUAAAGUGUAGCAGCUUUUUAACACUACCAUCAUAACUCCAGCUCUUAUGUUAGCGUGAUUAGAACAUCCCUCUCCUGUGUUUUGGUUCAGUGUUUAUUCCUGCCAAACGGGCCGUCAUGACUCAGGGAAAUAUUCACUUCUGACUUUCUGACAUGGAGACACACGUGGGAACGUUUCCUCCGGUGGGGAAGCGUAGGAUGACAGAUGUGACCUUUGGGCUCGCGCCAGAUAUCAGAGCUCGGGGAGAGACGAGGGCGAGCCGCGCGCCUGGUGUUACUAACACUGAGGCUGAUGGAUGAAUCACACUGAAAUCCUCACAGUCUCUGCCUCUGGCUUUGUUCAGGGUCAACACAGAGACAGUUUGUACGAGUCCAUCUGAGUUUUUUUGGAUGCGUCAUCAUCACUGAGGAUUAUAAUGUGGCUCAGGAGUUUUCUGCAUGCAAUAAAAAGUCAGUGUGAUCUCCUGGAAACCUUUAAUAAAUCUUCCACAGCGUUAGGCUGAGGACAAAUCACUGCUGUAGGACCCCCGGUGGAAGACACUAUUGAUUAUAGAUGUCCACUUGUACCCUCAGACAGUCACGCAUUUGGUUAAUGUUUUUUGACAGGUGAGGAAAUGCAAUUUAAAUAGAGCUUUAUAUAAAGUGCAACUCUUUAAUUAAUACUAACAAAACAGGCAAGGUGCGACCAUAUAAAGUAGGAUAUGUUUCAUACCUUAACGUCUCGCUAUGACAUCCUGGACUUAUGAUUUCAUCAACCAAUCACAUCCUUCUGACAUCAACACUCUUACUCUUGUGCUUUUUUCUGUUUUACGAUCACCCGGAAAGGUUUAAAGCUCAAAAGAAAUGAUCAAAAUCCUCAGUAAAAUCUUCAACUGUAUCUUUACAUGAGUCUAAAAGUGGUAAAAUGAAAAAAGCACAGCGUUACAGUCGGAUAUACCUCGUCAUGGUGAUGCUCCUUGGGUUGCCAUGAGAGGAUUUGUGUCAGUUUAACAACACAAAUAUAAAAAUAUACAUAUUUUUCAUGUUAGAAGUGUACAAAUCCUUAAAAUUCACGGUGAAAGCAGCUCGAGUUUUGGUGGGGUAGGAAAGGAAAAGAUGGGGAUAGGACGAGACAAGGGGUGAUGAGAUGGUAUGGGAUGAGAACGGAUGAGAUUGGAUCCAGUUUGAUGUAAUGGCGUGGUUUGAGAUAGGGUAGGAGAGGAUAUAAUUGGGAUAGGAUGGGAUAGUAUAGGAAAGGUAAGGUUGGUUGGGGUAGGAUUAAAAAGGAAAGAAUGGUAAAAAAACAUGAUCGCGUGGAAUCGGAUAUGCUAGUAAAGAUUGAGAUAGGAUAUAAUGAGGAAGGAUGAGAAAGGAUAGGAAAGGAUGUAUAGAAAAGAUUAGGAUAGGAUGUAUAAAUCUAGAAGUUGCAUAAAGGAAAAGCUUUUUAUCUUCAGGUUUUUGAAAAUUGUGUUUUAAAGAAGUUCAAUUACCAUAACUUCAUGAUAAUAAAAUAUACUUUAUAUCAAAGAUGCAUACAUGUGAGUACUCCCUUGGUAUGCCACUUGACAUUAAUUCACUAAAACACAGUCUAAAAUGAAUCUAGCUGUGAUUUAAAAACCUGUUGGUUCUGAUGAGCUUUGGCAGAUAGCAAAAAUACAACACCACAGAUUCAAAACAGUGAAUGAGCUGUUAGUGUGAUCACACCCAAGUUAAUCAUCAAGUUGGCUGUUAACAGCUGGCACAUGGAGCCAAUUAAAUAUUUUACUAUGUUUCAUUAAUGUGAGAGGAGUAGCAGCUUCUCUUAAACUGACAGGACAGUUCAACAGAUUCUGGUAAUGGUUGUGCAAUGAUGCACUGUGCUGAAAUCACCUCGGGUUCCUAUUAACAGCUCAAAUUUCUCUCGCCUAACGGUGUUUGAUAUUUUAAGUAAAUGAAAGAGAAAACAUCAACAACACCAGAAUGAGCGAAUAUAUUCUGGGUAAAUAAUAAAAAGCAACACGGACAAAGAAAGUUUGUUGUCCAAAUGUUGAUGAUAUAAAUAAUUGGGACAUUAGUCUUUGAUUUUGGAUGAUUGAAAUGAGGAUGAUUGUGUUUUUGCUGAUAGAAUUGAAGGAGAGGAGGAUGGCUGUAACAAUGGGAUCAUAGUAAGGAUGAUGAUUAUGAUGAUGAGCCUUUGUACCAGCUCAGAAGAUGAAGAUUACUUCAUAACUACUCCUGCUGGAGCUUCUGCUGAUGAGGAUACAAUGAUGGUGUGAUGAUUAGACUGUUGGAUAAAACGGUGAAGAAAAUGAUGAUGAAGAUGGAAGCUGAUUAUGUGGAGGAGGAGGAGGAAGAUGAUGAUGAUGUGGUAAUGAAGAUGGUGAGAAGAAGAUGAUGACUGUGCUGAUUAUGAUCCUUCUUUCCCUAAUUUUCAUGAAGCAGCACCCUCACUGCUUUUUUGAUUAAACUUUGGAGUCAUCACUGACAAUAACAUGAAAAGGAGUUGAGUACAGUGGCCCUGAUGGUAAAUGGCUCAAACAUUUUCUAACCAAAAAAUUUAAAAAUAAAGACAAAUAUUUCGUAAAAGAAAAAUUCCUGAAAACAAAAAGUAGAUUAAUUAUUUUGUUUUCGUUUCCAUCUCUAUAAUAUUUUCUGCUUUGAACUGAAAAUACGACAACAAACACUAAUCUUUUAUUUUUUGGUUAUAUAGGAAAAACAAAUAAACAAAAUAUUGACUUGUUUUUUCGUUUACUAGAUUGAAUGGAAUAAUUGAAUAGAUGGAUAAUACAUGGACCUUCAUGAAAGAACGUGGACCAUGCAAACAGGAGAUUCCCA
RNAcentral lists this long non-coding RNA (22467 nucleotides) under Xyrichtys novacula (pearly razorfish). The record is from RNAcentral. Lineage: Eukaryota; Metazoa; Chordata; Actinopteri; Labriformes; Labridae.